GGAUUAGAUACCCUGGUAGUCCAUACCGUAAACGAUGAUUGUUAGAUGUUGGAAAUUUAUUUUCAGUAUCACAGCUAACGCGUUAAACAAUCCGCCUGGGGAGUACGACCGCAAGGUUAAAACUCAAAUGAAUUGACGGGGACCCGCACAAGCGGUGGAGCAUGUGGUUUAAUUCGAAGCUACGCGCAGAACCUUACCAACACUUGACAUGUCUGUCGCGGAUUCCAGAGAUGGAUUCCUUCGGUUCGGCCGGACAGAACACAGGUGCUGCAUGGCUGUCGUCAGCUCGUGCCG
This 294-nucleotide ribosomal RNA is filed under the name uncultured bacterium. Its description in RNAcentral is "partial 16S ribosomal RNA". It matches the Rfam family "Bacterial small subunit ribosomal RNA", at positions 775 to 1067 of the family's 1533-position model. The record is from RNAcentral.